ACCCCGGCGGCCUAGUGGGUAGAGCGUCCGCCUCGGAUGUGGGAGGUCGCGGGUUCGAUACCAGUCUGUCAUA
This is a non-coding RNA of Potamilus streckersoni, 73 nucleotides long. Lineage: Eukaryota; Metazoa; Mollusca; Bivalvia; Unionida; Unionidae. The record is from the annotation of a GenBank genome assembly.